This 253-nucleotide ribosomal RNA is filed under the name uncultured bacterium. RNAcentral describes it as "partial 16S ribosomal RNA". It matches the Rfam family "Bacterial small subunit ribosomal RNA", at positions 524 to 776 of the family's 1533-position model. The record is from RNAcentral.
CACGUAGGGCGCAAGCGUUGUCCGGAAUUAUUGGGCGUAAAGAGCUCGUAGGCGGUCUGUUGCGUCCGCUGUGAAAACUCGGGGCUUAACCCCGAGCCUGCAGUGGAUACGGGCAGACUAGAGGUAGGUAGGGGAGAAUGGAAUUCCCGGUGUAGCGGUGAAAUGCGCAGAUAUCGGGAGGAACACCGGUGGCGAAGGCGGAUCUCUGGGCCUUACCUGACGCUCAGGCGCGAAAGCUAGGGGAGCGAACUGG